GACGAACGCUGGCGGCGUGCUUAACACAUGCAAGUCGAACGGAAAGGCCCUGCUCUUGUGGGGUGCUCGAGUGGCGAACGGGUGAGUAACACGUGAGUAACCUGCCCUUGACUUUGGGAUAACUUCAGGAAACUGGGGCUAAUACCGGAUAGGAGCUCCUGCUGCAUGGUGGGGGUUGGAAAGUUUCGGCGGUUGGGGAUGGACUCGCGGCUUAUCAGCUUGUUGGUGGGGUAGUGGCUUACCAAGGCUUUGACGGGUAGCCGGCCUGAGAGGGUGACCGGCCACAUUGGGCCUGAGAUACGGCCCAGACUCCUACGGGCGGCAGCAGUGGGGAAUAUUGCACAAUGGGCGGAAGCCUGAUGCAGCAACGCCGCGUGCGGGAUGACGGCCUUCGGGUUGUAAACCGCUUUCGCCUGUGACGAAGCGUGAGUGACGGUAAUGGGUAAAGAAGCACCGGCUAACUACGUG
Molecule: ribosomal RNA, 468 nt
Filed under: uncultured bacterium
Lineage: Bacteria
Description: partial 16S ribosomal RNA
Rfam family: Bacterial small subunit ribosomal RNA
Source: RNAcentral